GAAAUACUCCCUCCGCCUGGAAUUACUUGUCACAGAAAUGGAUAAAAAUAGAUGUAUCUAGAACUAAAAUAUGUCUAGAUACAUUCAUUUCUCCAAUAAGUAAUUCUGGGCGGAGGGAGUACUAG
Triticum aestivum (bread wheat) is the source of this 125-nucleotide non-coding RNA. NCBI's taxonomy places the organism in Eukaryota, Viridiplantae, Streptophyta, Magnoliopsida, Poales, Poaceae. The record is from Rfam.